This is a long non-coding RNA of Diospyros lotus (date-plum), 1285 nucleotides long. RefSeq lists it as uncharacterized. The record is from RefSeq and is a predicted model, not a curated record. NCBI's taxonomy places the organism in Eukaryota, Viridiplantae, Streptophyta, Magnoliopsida, Ericales, Ebenaceae. The transcript has 2 exons.
AGGUUAUUUGACUGAGUUUUGAGCUCAUAAGGGCCUCGUGAAUCUCUACUUGAAUCUCGAAUUUCAACUGUUCUCGCAUAAUCUGACCAUACUCCGGUUUUUGGGACAUAACUUUCUAUGACAAUAUCCAAUCAUAGAUCCAUUUGUUGUAUUACAAACUAGACUUGAGGGGUUUCACUUUGAUAUAUGUCUUGAAUCAUUUGGCUUUGAUUUGAACCCGUAACAACCUGCUAAUCUUCGCCCAAAAAAUCUAAAAUUUUGCUUAUUGAAUUCCUUUUGUUUGGCUAUUCUUCCUAAGCUUGAUAUCACGACUCUUGCCUAUUCUAUCAUUUGUUAACCUUGUUGUCUUCCUUGAAUAUUUGAUGAAUAUUUUUCAAAAAGCCCAAUAGAAUAUGGUUCACCAUAUAUUUUUAAAAGAAUGAUGUACCUUGUCAUAGUAAACCUUGUUUGCCAAGAUAACCAAGUGGUAUUAAACAUUGACAUGGUUGGUUGUCAGUGGGCAUAUUUGUUUAUUUUAUGUUAAGAUUGAUUAUAGGAGAAGCCUAUGUUAAUUGUGCAUGCAUGGGCAGGGGUGAUGUGCAUCAUUUGUAUGGUUUAAUCAGGAUAUGUGGUCAUGGGUGUGCAAUUGUGCAUGAGAUGUAUGUUUAUUUGUGUGGAUGAUGUGGUCGUGUUCAAAUUAUACAUGCAGUAGCAUGGCUAUGUAUAUAUGAGCAUUUAUGUGUAGCAUUUACAUUAUACUCGCCUGGUGGUGGCCAGCGCGUGGAGAUAGUAUACUCGCUUUAUGCAUGGACAUUAUACUCUCCUGGUGGUGACCGUCGCGUGGAGAUAGUAUACUCACUUUAUGCGUGGACAUUAUACUCUCCUGGUGGUGACCAGCGCAUGGAGAUACUAGACUCAUCAUACUCGCCUCAUUUAAAUUAGUGCGUGGGGGAACUUUGGUCCAUAGUUAUUGUUUAUGUGAUGUUUGGGGCCGUAGGGACCAGUGUGAUUUAUGUAGGCCAUGGGCCGAAUAUGUAUACAUAUGCGUGUCUAUAUCGUUGUGUGUUGUGAUGAAGCAUAGCAUUGGUGUGGUUAAGGUAAAUCAAUAAUUCCUUCGCAGGUAAGAUAUUUCAUAAUGUAAGGGCAAGGGAGCAACUGAAAGGGGUCCUAGCAGAGUCGAUAGGUAGACAUGUGUGCUAGGGCACUCUCAACUCAAAAGAUCUUGGGGUUCUUUUGUUAAGUCGAUGUAUACAUUGUAUUCCUCAAAUGUUGUAUGUGACCCAAUGAAAAGAUGAAUGUUUUGAUA